Long non-coding RNA from Populus trichocarpa (black cottonwood), 3024 nucleotides. RefSeq lists it as uncharacterized. The record is from RefSeq and is a predicted model, not a curated record. The transcript has 3 exons. Lineage: Eukaryota; Viridiplantae; Streptophyta; Magnoliopsida; Malpighiales; Salicaceae.
AAAAAAAAUAAUUGAAAACCAAAAAAUUAUCUCAAAACCGUUUCUUUCACUCCCAGAGGGCAGAGAGCAACCCCAUUGCCCCAUUCUAGUCUUUCGCGCCAUGGACGACGAGGCAAGCGGCAGAAGAAGAGAGGUCCUGUUCUUGGUGGGUUUUUGAAUGCAAGCAAGCAGAGAAAUCAAUCUGGUUAAUGAAAUGUCCUUCAAUAGUCUCUCGUUCUCCACGAAGCCAAGAACACGAGGGUCGUGAUGGUGAUGCCUCUUCACUCCCCGUGGAUAAAGUCAUCGUCGACCCUCUUAAAGGUCUUAAAGGCAAUGAUGAUGAUAACUCUGCUACCGUGGUUAAAAAGAUAUAAUUCUUUCGUUUGUUUUUUUAGAUACGUUCAAGUUUAUGUCUUCUGGCUUUGUUUUUUUCCUUGCACGAUUUCUUUUUCUUUUUUGGUUUGAUGGUUUAUUUAUUGCGUGGCUUCUUGGGGUUGUCGAAUUCUUUUUGUUUUGAAUCAAGUUUGUGGUUUUUUCUCAUUGCUGGCUGGAUCUUGUGAUGGUCGUUUCCAGGGACUAAUUUGCGUGGUUUUGGGUUGUUUUGGUUAAGGGUGAUAUUGUGCUGCAGCAUUAUGGGAAUGCAUGUGAUUUUGUGUUGGUUCUUGUUCUGUUUUGUUGGGUUUGCACAUUUUACAAUUUCUUCUGCUUACUGUAUUUCAUGAAUUAUAACUCUUUUAUGGAAUAUAGUAUUCCUUUGCAGUUCAUGUCAUUUUGGUUUUCCUUGUCUGUAAUGUUAUGGAUUGUGUUGCUAAGGGUUUAAUGAAUUUUACCAACGAGAAUUGAAUCUCUUGUUCUCGAACUUAAUAUUCCUGUAGAUUUUCCUUUCCAGGAAUUGUGGGACCGCAAGUUAGAAAUGAUGGUUUCUUGUUCUAACUCAUAUAACAUUUUCAGUUUUGGCAAUUGAACCUGGGAAGCUGAACAAGUUGGUGAAAUUUCGUUGAGUUAUGGGAAAGCUGUCUGUGGAGGGAAGAAUACCGAAUAAAUUCAACACAAGGCCUCAUAGCGCAAACCUUGAGAACCAUGGAAAAAUCUGCCGUGAAAGGACAAGCAAAGGGCGUGAUCAAUAGUAGACAAAUAAAGGUUAUCGACAACGACACUGGGAAUCAUACGAGGCCUAUGCCAGGGAUGAUUAUUUUUGGAUUCGCUGGACUGUGAACUCCAUCAACAUACUUAUCAAUGCUUUUCACUUAGCUUUAUGUGGAGGCACUUCUCUGUUUUGCCAUUACUAAAUAGAUCAGAGAUAUUUAUAACAAGGAUUAUUCUGUCUAAUUGUGUUUGUACUUGGAUAAGAGGAAACUGUCAAUCAAGGCAUCAUAUAUGAAAAGGACGAGAAGAGACUGUUGAGAAAUGGAGGGGAUUAUGUUUAAGCUUUUUGAAAAGCAACCAAUUGGACAUAAGACAACUGAUCCUAGAGACGGACCAACCCGGAGCUUUUACUUGUGUUGGUUUCUGUUACGAACUCAUCCUUGAACACAAUGAUAAUAUGAAGCGUAUUGCAGACUCCAAAUCUGAGAGGCUGAGAAAGCGAUUCGCUCGAAUGCAGAGAUUGGCCAAGAGAUGGCAAAUGCCUCCUUUUGUUCUCGCUUUUCCUCUAUUGGGGUCGCAAGUAAAAUUACUCCCUAAAUUCCUAGCUGCUCAGCUAUGAAAAAUACCUGACCCUGCUUCCAACAAUUGGCAAAAGCUCUUUGAGCCUUUAGUUGAAAUGCAAAAAUCUCCCACUGACAGUUUCAAAUGCGCAUGUGCCUUUUUUUUGUAACUUGAGUGUUCAAAUGGGCAUGAGCAAUCUCUUCAUAGAAUGGUCGUGAUCACAUGCUUCAUGCUAGUUUACCACACGAGUACAUCCUUUCAUCAUAUGGUUUUCUACACGUUGUCCUUGGAUUUCAAAGGAAAUUAUCCAACUCAUCAAAGCCUAACUUCCGACUGCUUAGUGUUCUGAGAUUUUACAUAAUAUUGUUUCUUGCAGAUUAGCAAUUCUAUUUUUUUUAACCCAUGUUUCUCUACACAGGGGAAUUUGAAGCUUUGUUCAUCCUCAAUACAGAGCUUGUUCUAAAAUUCUGAAAAAAACUAUGACUUUGCGUGCUUCUUUUUAUUGUUGAACAUUUUGAACAGCCCUGGGCAAGAUAUAUUCCACGAAUUGUCACACUAAGGAUGACUUUAUCAUCUUGUAACUAUCUUCUUCCCUCCCCUUUCUGAAUAGCAGACUAAUAAAUUUUUUUGUGACUAUUUCAAAAACUUAAUCGGCCAAGCUGCCACCAAGAUCUUCUUUGGGCUAUAUGAAAUGCUUGAUUUUGGAUUUCCUGUUGCUAUUUUGUCAUUAUCUCUGUUGAAUUUUAGUCUAGAAGUAUUUCAUCCUCACCUUCUCUGUCUCAUUGUUACUUUGUCUUUCUGUAGCAAUUUGUGAAAGACAUGCUUCAGGACCUCUGUGUCUACAUAAGGUACUAAUCAAGGAUCAUAUGAACUGAAGCCGGAGUACAAGAAAGCAAGCGAGGAACCAAUGCCUGAAAAGAUUAUAGUAUUGCUGAUGAAUGACUGCAGAAAGGAACUCUCAGUAAUAUUAAGUUCUUUCCCCUGAACUACUCUCCUGAUGCCUUCUCUUUCUGAUGGAAUUGACAUGAACGCAGGAGGGAAGGCCGUUAAGGAAAUAAUUGGCAUUUUUUCUUUUUAAGUUCUGAGUCUUGGCCUCUAGUUUUCAGAUCAGCAGCUGAUGGCAGUUUUGUCAACUUUCUGUAGAGACAAACUUGGCCGCAUGUUUCAUUCUGCUUGGAGACUGUUUGGUACUGUGGUUAAACAGUGUUUUAAUUUUUAUUUUAUUUUUUAGCUUUAAAUUUUUUUUUAAUCAUACUGCAACUACCCACGUUCUGUCCUUUUCUUUUCUUUUCUUCUUUCAUGUCAGACGCUGGCCAUACUUAGCUUCUGGAUUGUAAUAUAGGCCCACGUGGUGAAUUUGUCAGCAUGGUGCCAGUCGUAAUGUUUGUUUUUCUCUCA